This 494-nucleotide ribosomal RNA is filed under the name uncultured bacterium. Its description in RNAcentral is "partial 16S ribosomal RNA". It matches the Rfam family "Bacterial small subunit ribosomal RNA", at positions 28 to 507 of the family's 1533-position model. The record is from RNAcentral.
GACGAACGCUGGCGGCGUGCCUAAUACAUGCAAGUCGAACGGUUUAGUGCCAAGAGGCUUGCCUUUUGGAACUCGACAGUGGCGUACGUGUGAGUAACACGUAGUCCACCUACCUGUCAAACCGGGAUAACCUCGGGGAACCGAAGCUAAACCCGGAUAAGCUCCUUUUUCGCAUGAAGUGGGAGUGAAAAUUUGCGACCUGAUUACAUAUGGGCCUGCGUCGAAUUAGCUAGUAGGUAGGGUAACGGCCUCCCAAGACGAUGAUGCGUAGCCGACAUGAGGGGGCGUACGGCUACAAUGGGACUGAGAUACGGACCAGACUCCUAGGGGAGGCAGCAGUAGGGAAUCUUAGGGAAUGGGCGAAAGCCUGACCGAGCAACGCCGCGUGAGUGAGGAAGGCCUUCGGGUUGUAAAACUCUGUUGUUUGGGAAGAAGGGAAAGGGUAGGACCCUUUGGUGACGGUACCAAACGAGAAAGCCCCGGCUAACUACGUG